Camellia sinensis is the source of this 846-nucleotide non-coding RNA. The record is from RefSeq and is a predicted model, not a curated record. NCBI's taxonomy places the organism in Eukaryota, Viridiplantae, Streptophyta, Magnoliopsida, Ericales, Theaceae.
CAGCUAACCUCUAUGCGGUGCUUCUCCAACAAGCUCUUCAUCAAUUCGAGCCACCUGUGCCGCUACAGAUUAGUUUGCAUUUGGGCUGAACUCUAUAUGCAUUUUUCUUUCACAAACCAGUUGCAAAUCCAAACAAUCUGCUGCAUGAGCAUCUUCUGGCCACUGUGAAUUCUGAAAAGUUCUCAACGCAGCUUAAAUCCCUCUAUGAUGAAUCUAUUGAUGGAAUUGGCUCCGAAUUUCCUUUUUAAGGAGGCCUCAGGUUUCCCCCUUCCCUUCAAUUAGUGGAUUCUAUAUCUAUUUUCUAUAGAUUUCUAUAUUACAUGAUAGAAUCUAAGUUAAGUUUAAUCUAAUUAAUUUCAGUGAAGAAACUGAUCUGUGUAAGUUGAGCGUGAUUUUCAAUCCAAGAAAUUUAGUUCUAUUUAAGGAUCAAAUUUCAGAUUAAAUUUUGGAGAGAGAGAGAGAGAGAGGGAGUAUUACUAUUGAUUCGAUAGUGCUUGAAUAUUUAUUGAACUGAUUGAUUCCGAUAGUUAAAUUAGACACUUCAUUCUUAAAUAGACUCACACAGUUAAUGAUCAAUGAAGGAGGAAACUUGGUAAUGGUGACUUUCUAAUAUUGUUUCUGGAAAAAAGGAUCGAUUUUUGUAAGAAAAUUUUAUCUACUAUGAAGAGUCUAUGCUGUGAACUCAGUGCUGUUUGUUCUGUUCUCUAUAUGUGCAAUUUGAGUUUAUAAAAUUUAAUCUGAUGAAAAAAAAUACAUAUUUAGGAGGGAAAGUGAAUGAUAUGGAAGGGGAAGAGUUAGUUCACAUCCUGUUUGGUGGAACUGACCCAAAAAAAAAAAGAAUUUGAU